UUUGACCAGAUAACUGGAAGACGGAUCCUUUUCAAUUAAGUGUUGUUUAGUUAUUUUUAGAUGAAAGAUAAAAACUAGAGUUAACAAAGAACAACACAAGAGAUUUAUACUGGUUCACCCAAACAAGGGCUAGUCCAGUCCCGACCAACUGUCGGAAUUCACUCGCCUAAAGGUUAUGGCAAAACCUUAGAGUAUCAAGGAAACUCUUAAGAACCUCUCUAAGCUUUAAGGCUA
Molecule: long non-coding RNA, 234 nt
Filed under: Zostera marina
Lineage: Eukaryota; Viridiplantae; Streptophyta; Magnoliopsida; Alismatales; Zosteraceae
Description: long non-coding RNA (ZMAR_LNC003676)
Source: RNAcentral